CCUACGGGAGGCUGCAGUGAGGAAUAUUGGUCAAUGGACGAGAGUCUGAACCAGCCAAGUAGCGUGAAGGAUGACUGCCCUAUGGGUUGUAAACUUCUUUUAUAUGGGAAUAAAAUGUUCCACGUGUGGGAUUUUGUAUGUACCAUAUGAAUAAGGAUCGGCUAACUCCGUGCCAGCAGCCGCGGUAAUACGGAGGAUCCGAGCGUUAUCCGGAUUUAUUGGGUUUACAGGGGGCGUAGGUGGAUUGUUAAGUCAGGUGUGAAAGUUUGCGGCUAAACCCUAAAAUUGCAGUUGAAACUGGCAGUCUAGAGUACAGUAGAGGUGGGCGGAAUUCGUGGUGUAGCGGUGAAAUGCUUAGAUAUCACGAAGAACUCCGAUUGCGAAGGCAGCUCACUGGACUGCAACUGACACUGAGGCUCGAAAGUGUGGGUAUCAAACAGGAUUAGAUACCCGAGUAGUC
Molecule: ribosomal RNA, 460 nt
Filed under: uncultured bacterium
Lineage: Bacteria
Description: partial 16S ribosomal RNA
Rfam family: Bacterial small subunit ribosomal RNA
Source: RNAcentral